Molecule: ribosomal RNA, 253 nt
Filed under: uncultured bacterium
Lineage: Bacteria
Description: partial 16S ribosomal RNA
Rfam family: Bacterial small subunit ribosomal RNA
Source: RNAcentral
UACAGAGGGGGCAAGCGUUGUUCGGAAUUACUGGGCGUAAAGGGCGCGUAGGCGGCCUGUUAAGUCGAACGUGAAAUCCCUGGGCUCAACCCCGGAACUGCCCUUGAAACUGGAGAGCUAGAAUCUUGGAGAGGCGAGUGGAAUUCCGAGUGUAGAGGUGAAAUUCGUAGAUAUUCGGAAGAACACCAGUGGCGAAGGCGACUCGCUGGACAAGUAUUGACGCUGAGGUGCGAAAGCGUGGGGAGCAAACAGG